RNAcentral lists this transfer RNA (68 nucleotides) under Aeshna crenata. RNAcentral describes it as "tRNA-Leu". Lineage: Eukaryota; Metazoa; Arthropoda; Insecta; Odonata; Aeshnidae. The record is from RNAcentral.
AAAAUUUACUGUGCAAUUCAGUAUAAUUUGAUAAGAUUAUAUUCUUACUUUAAUUUAUUUAUAUUUAU